This 1068-nucleotide ribosomal RNA is filed under the name Alicyclobacillus sp. enrichment culture clone MRT18-22. RNAcentral describes it as "bacterial SSU rRNA". It matches the Rfam family "Bacterial small subunit ribosomal RNA", at positions 336 to 1397 of the family's 1533-position model. Lineage: Bacteria; Bacillati; Bacillota; Bacilli; Caryophanales; Alicyclobacillaceae. The record is from RNAcentral.
CUCCUACGGGAGUCAGCAGUAGGGAAUCUUCCGCAAUGGGCGCAAGCCUGACGGAGCAACGCCGCGUGAGUGAGGAAGGCCUUCGGGUUGUAAAACUCAGUCACCUGGGAAGAGAGGUAUGGGGAGUGGAAUGCCCCAUACGAGACGGUACCAGGGGAGGAAGCCCCGGCUAACUACGUGCCAGCAGCCGCGGUAAUACGUAGGGGGCAAGCGUUGUCCGGAAUCACUGGGCGUAAAGCGUGCGUAGGCGGUCUUUCAAGUCCGGGGUGAAAACUCAAGGCUCAACCUUGAGAAUGCCUUGGAAACUGGGGGACUUGAGUACUGGAGAGGCAAGGGGAAUUCCACGUGUAGCGGUGAAACGCGUAGAGAUGUGGAGGAAUACCAGUGGCGAAGGCGCCUUGCUGGACAGUGACUGACGCUGAGGCACGAAAGCGUGGGGAGCAAACAGGAUUAGAUACCCUGGUAGUCCACGCCGUAAACGAUGAGUGCUAGGUGUUGGGGGUUCAUCCCCUCAGUGCCGAAGGAAACCCAAUAAGCACUCCGCCUGGGGAGUACGGUCGCAAGACUGAAACUCAAAGGAAUUGACGGGGGCCCGCACAAGCAGUGGAGCAUGUGGUUUAAUUCGAAGCAACGCGAAGAACCUUACCAGGGCUUGACAUCCCUCUGACCGGUUCAGAGAUGGACCUUCCCUUCGGGGCAGAGGAGACAGGUGGUGCAUGGUUGUCGUCAGCUCGUGUCGUGAGAUGUUGGGUUAAGUCCCGCAACGAGCGCAACCCUUGACCUGUGUUACCAGCACGUAAUGGUGGGGACUCACAGGUGACUGCCGGCGUAAGUCGGAGGAAGGUGGGGAUGACGUCAAAUCAUCAUGCCCUUUAUGUCCUGGGCUACACACGUGCUACAAUGGGCGGUACAACGGGAAGCGAGACCGCGAGGUGGAGCGAAACCCAAAAAGCCGUUCGUAGUUCGGAUUGCAGGCUGCAACCCGCCUGCAUGAAGCCGGAAUUGCUAGUAAUCGCGGAUCAGCAUGCCGCGGUGAAUCCGUUCCCGGGCCUUGCACACACCGCCCGU